CGGAAAAUGGAUGGAUGGAUGGAAUGAUGACUGAUUCAUAUUUUGUGUGCAAGCUAACAUUGCCUUGGGAAGAGAUAUUCAAAUUGUGUUCCUACAGCUUUUUUUUUAAAUAUAAACAUACACCCAAUUUGGCACAAAUGAUAACCCAGUGUUGCAGACCGAAAAUGUGAAUGGAAAAAAACCCCAUUAUGGUUUGAUCAUGUCCUUCGAGAGGAAUCGCUCAAACAAUGAAUUAUGCACUAAUCGAACCAAUCCAGAGAAGGCAGCCUCCGCUUUCAAGAGAGGAUGACAACGUAGAGAGAAAGUUGCCAUCACCUUCAGGAAAGGCGGCCUUGACAGGAGACAAUCAAUACAAGACUAAUGGUGCAGGAGCAGGGCCCCGGGAUGCCUCCCACUAUCUCUUUUCUUGUUGUUUUUGACAAACGAGCCCCGCUUUGUGAAGCAAGACAAUGAAAACAAACACUCCUCAGUCAGUGUUGCGCAGCAACUCUGGAGGGGAAGCGACAGCGUCCUGAACGAGCUGAGACAAAAAGUGAUGAAGCAAAGAUAAAUGCGAUCACACCUGGAAGGAGGCAGCGCGCGCAGAUCAAGAAAACGUCGCUCAGGAAGUGGUGCGUGAGCUGUUCUGAAAUCGUGCGGGGUUGCAGGUGAGCUGGAACUGAUCCGAGUUGAGAGACGCGGUACAGCCUGGACUCAGCGACAGCCAAUCGAGAGGCACAUAUGGACAAACAAAGCAUUGACAUUCACGAAUGUGCAUGUUUUUUUUGGAAUGUGGGAGUACAGAUCAAAUAAAUCAAAACAUCUCCCAGGCAUCUGAUGGCUUGAGCAUCAUUUUCGCUGAUGACAAAAACAUUCUGAAGUAGGGAGAUGAACGUGAGGGCAGAAUAUUGUUCUCCGGGUUGUCAGCGGGACAACAGAGUCCUGCAUUUAUUCAUUUCCCGUCUUCUAAUCGCUUCGAAAACAGUCGCCCGCACACCCUCUUGUCUCAUUUGUCUCCUUGUCUGUUGUGGCUCUGCACAUUUCCCCAUUCAUGUUUUCGGCAAACAUCUAUUCUUAAAGAAUCCAUAACACAUCCAAAC
Hippocampus comes (tiger tail seahorse) is the source of this 1079-nucleotide long non-coding RNA. RefSeq lists it as uncharacterized. The record is from RefSeq and is a predicted model, not a curated record. NCBI's taxonomy places the organism in Eukaryota, Metazoa, Chordata, Actinopteri, Syngnathiformes, Syngnathidae. The transcript is spliced from 2 exons.